Myiozetetes cayanensis is the source of this 6942-nucleotide long non-coding RNA. RefSeq lists it as uncharacterized. NCBI's taxonomy places the organism in Eukaryota, Metazoa, Chordata, Aves, Passeriformes, Tyrannidae. The record is from RefSeq and is a predicted model, not a curated record. The transcript is spliced from 2 exons.
CUGCAGAGCUACUUCUGUGUGGUUAAGGAGGGUGGCAUCAUCAGCGUAAAGCAGCUCAUGGACAAGAUGAUUUAAGGUCUUAGUGUGGGCCUUCAGUCGCCUUAGGUUGAACAGGCUCCCAUUGUUAUGGUAUCGAAUGUAGACACCGUUUUCAUCAUCGAGGUCUGCUGUGGCCCUUUGGAGCAUCAUGCUGAAGAAGAUUGUGAAUAAAGUUGGUGUGAGAACGCAGCCUUGCUUCACACCAUUGGCUAUUGGAAACGGCUCAGAAAGUGCAUUGCCAUAUCUGACCUGACCGCACUGGUCCUCAUGAAGCGAGAUGAUCAUUUUGAGGAACUUGGGAGGACAUCCUAAACGUUCCAAAAUCUGCCACAGACCUUUUCUGCUCACAGUAUCGAAAGCCGUGGUGAGAUCAACAAAGGUGUUUGUCUUCCACAUGGCUGACAGCUGAAUUCUGUUCAAAAAGGAUGAUUAAGACUGCAAUAGGUACAAAGCCAAGUUUCCUCUUGAAUUCUUUUCUUUUUCCUGCUGUGCCUCAUGUAGUUGGCAGAGCUUUUCCAUUGUGGAACAGGGGUUGCUGGAAGUGAAUUCUUCCUUAGCAGACAGGCUUUUGUUCAGUUUUGACUCCAGGCUUCUAGCCCAAACUCUUGAGCAAUCUUCACUGAGAAACCUCUGUGCGUCUGUGGUAAGAUUUUUCUUUUUUUAGAGUUUUCUAGUCUGAGCCAAUUUGUAGUACAGAGAUCCAUUUUCUGAAAGACUGUGUUCUGUGCAGAGAUUCUUCAGUAUCAGCCUUGUGCUAGCACAUUCUCUGAGAUUUACAUCACAUUAGGCUUUAGGUUUAAAUGCAGAUAAAAUUUUUCUUAGGUUUAUAUUUCUUUAGGCAGACUAAUUGUGGAACAAAUCAGGGCAGCAUACUGUAUUCUCACAUCUCUUGUCUCUUAAUUUUAAUCCUUCACUUAUUUUUCCAUACAAAGGGGUGUAAAAACAGUGUUUACACAUUAAACUUUUAUUUCCAAAUUUCUUCUCACCAAGUUCAAAACAUUUCUAGUCAGCCUUCACCUGACAGUUGCUUUGGUUGAAUGUUUUGAUGAAUCAUAUAAAAAAUGUAUGUGACUUUCGCUGCAGUUUGCACUUUGCUUCUUUUCCAGCCAAAAAGAGAGGAGUGAGGGUUACAGAGAGUUUCCACAUUUCCUAAUCUAACUGUAAGCCCCAAAAUGCACAUUCUCACCUCUUCUGCAGAAUGGCAAGGAAAUUUUACAACAGCUACAAGCUCCUGGGUAGCAGGUUGGUUGUUACCAUUUUCAAUUCUACCUAAGUUGCUUGCUUUUUUCUUUAAACUUGUUUUUCCCAUCAUUAUUCCACUUCAAGAAAUUCAUCUGCCUCUGACCUCCCUCUCCAUACUGAUACAUGUUCUUUAUACUGAAAUUGUUUCAUAGGUGACCUUUGCCUGGACUUAAUCUGUUAUAAAUUGCCACAUCCAGACUUGGACUCCUAUUUUUAAAUACCUUGACAAUAUAUUGCUUUUACAGACGCCUCUAUUUUCUGUAAGAAUACAUGAAUGUAUCAGUAUCUCAAAUAUCUUAAAAGCACCAAACCAUAACAAACAAGCGAGAAAAGCCACAAAACAGAACUCCAGUUGAUUCAUGGUGGACUUGAUUAUUUGCUUCUCAAGUUAUUAACAACACUGUUCCUGUGUUGGCUAUGGCUAAGAUGAAAUGUAGCAACUCCAUUUGAUUUAUAAUACUGGGGAUACAAAAGAUAGUAAUGCUUGCCUGAUAUCUUUUAAGCUUUUGAUAUCUUGUGUUCUUUUAUCCAAGACUAAGACAGAUGUUUUUUGAAUCAAUAGGCUGCACUGGGGUAUCAGACAGUGUUCCAGAUGGAUAUCCUUAUUCACUUAUAUGAACUUCUGUGUUGCUUCCCUUGGGGAAAUAUAAAGAGUCACACAUUUAAAAGAGCCCAUAAUGCUAAAGGCUUUAUUUGUUCAAUUGACUGCUGCUUAUAAUUACAACAUGACAGAAAGUAACAGACCAACAUAUUCAUUUUUAGUGUAUAAUUACACUCUGAGCAAGAAUAGUUGGAAUUACUAUGGGGAAGAACCAUUCAGCUAUACUGUUGAAAAGAAAAAUGGAAUCACAGAAUGUUUUCAGUUGGAAGGGAUAUUGAGGAUACUCUAGUUCUACUUCCCUUGUCAUGGGAAGGAAAACCUUCUAAUAGGGCCAGGCUGCUCAAAGGCUCCAUCCAACCUGGUCUCAAACACUUACAGGGAUGAGGUAUCCAUAGCUUCUCUGGGAAAUCUGUUGCAGUGUCUUACCACCCUCACAGUAAAGAAUUUCUUCCCAAUAUCCAAUCUAAAUACAUCCCUUUCAUUCAAAGUCAUUUCUGCUUGUCCUAUGCUCUUUUUAAAAGUGUUCUUUUUAAAAGUCCCUCUUCACCUCUCUUUUAGGCCCUCUUUUGGUACCGGAAGGCCAUUAGAAAAAUCUUUUCUGAGCCUUUUCUUCUCCAGGCUGAACAAUCCUAAUGCUUUCAGCCUGUUUUCACAGGAGAGGGCUCCAUUCCUCUGAUCAUAUUUGUGGACUCCCUCUGGACAAGUCCAUGUCAUUCCUCUGCUGAGGACCCCAGAGCUAGAUGAGCACUACAGGUAGGGUCUCACAAGAGCAGGGUAGAGGGACACAACCACCUCCCCUGACCUUCUGGCCACACUGCUUUUGACGCAGCCCAGGAUAGGGUUUGAUUUUCUGGACUGUGAGUGCACACUGUCCACUCAUGUCCAGCUUCUCACCCACCAACAACCCCAAGUCUUUCACACCAGGGCUGUUCUUGGUCCAUUCUCUGCCCAGACUGUACUUUUGCUCAGGACUGCCAAGACCCAGGUCCAGGUUUGGCCUUGUUGAAUUUCAUGAGGUUCACUCAAACCCACCUCUCAGGCCCAUCCAAGUCCCCCCAGUGUCAUCCCUUCCCUCCAGCGUGUUGAUUGCACCACACAGCCUGGUGUCAUUGGUGAACUUGCUGAGAGUGCUCUCCGUCCCACUGCCCAUGUCACUGACAAAGAUAUUUAGCAGCACCAGUCCCAAAGUUCCCUGAGGAAGCCUCUCAUCAGUGGUGCCCACUUGGACAUGGAGCUGCUGCAACUCUCUUGAGUGUGACCUUCCAGUUAUAUCCCUAUCCAUUGAGUGGUCCAGAUGUCAAAUCCGUGUCUCUCCGGUUUAGAGACAAGGAUGUUGUGUGGGACAAUGUCAAAUGCUUUGCACAAGUCCAGGUAGAUGAGAUCAGUCACUCUUUGUUCAUCCACAGCCUCUGUAAUCCUGUCAUAGAAGGCCACCAAAUUUGUCAGGCAUGAUUUGCAAUCAGUGAAGCCUGUAACCAAUCACCUCUGUAUUUUCUAUGUGCCUUAGCAUAGUUUCCAGGAGGAUCAGCUCCAUGGUUUUGCAAGGCACUGAGGUGAGAUUGAGUGGCCUGUAGUUCCCUGGAGCUUUCUUACUUCCUUUACUUCCUUACUUUCCUUUUUUAAACUAGGGGUUAUGUUUCCCCUUUUCCAAUCGUGGGAACUUCACUGGACUGCCAUGACUUCUCAAACAUGAUCAAUAGUGGCUUAGCUACUUCCUUCAUCAGUUCCCUCAGGAUCCACAUAAGCAUCUGAUUGGAUCCUGCAGACUUGUGCAUCUUGAGGUUCCUUAGAUGUUCUGGAACCUGAUCUUCUCCUACAGUGUGCAGUUCUUCAUUCUCCCAAUCCCUGUCUUCACAUUCUACAGUUUGGGUGGUGUGACUGGACAACUUACUGGUGAAAAAAAGCGGUAGAAAAAUCAUUGAGUGCCACAGCCUUCUCCAGCUCCCAGCUAACCAGGUCUACUGUUUCCUUCUGGAGAUGGCCUUCAUUUUCCCUAGUCUUUCUUUUACCACCAGUGUACCUAUAAAUGCUUUUUUUAUUGCCCUUGAUGUCCCUGGACAGAUUGAAUUCUAUUAGGGAUUUAGCUUUCUUAAUCUAAUCCCUGAAUACUUGGACAAUUUAUCUGUAUUUUUCCCAGGCUACCUGUCCUUGCUCCAAUCCUCUUUAGGUUUCCUUUUAGUGCUUUAAUUUGUCCAGGAGCACCAUGUUCAUUCAUGCAGGCCUCCUGACAUUUUUGCCUGACAUCCUCUUCUUUGGAGUGCAUCUUUCCUGAGCCUGAAGGAAGUGAUUCUUGAAUAUUAGCCCGUUUUCCUGGGUCCUUCUUCCCUCCAGGGCUUUAACCCACAGCGCUCUAACAAGCAGGUCUCUGAAGAGGCCAAGCCAGCUCUCCUGAAGUCCAGGGUAGCAAGAUUGCUGUGCUCCCUCCUUGCUGCCCUAAGGAUCUCAAAUUCCACAAUUUCAUGGUCACUGCAGCCAAGCCCAUCCUUGAGCUUCACAUCCCCCACCAGCCCCUCCUUGCUGGUGAGAACAAGGUCCAGUACAGCAACUCUCCUUGCUGGCUUCUCUAUCACUUGGAGAAGAAAACUAUCAUAAAAGCAUUCCAGGAACCUCCUGGGUUGCUUAAUUCCUGGCUGUGUUGUCCUUCCAACAGAUAUUGGGGUGGCUGAAGUCCCCCAUGAGGUGCAGGGCUUGUGAACACGAGAUCGUUCCUAUCUGUCUAUAGAUGACUCAUGUCACCUGUCCCUCCUCUUCCUUUAAUCCUGACCCACAAGCUCUCAGUCAGCUCCUCAUCCAUCCCUAGGCAGAGCCCUAUGCACUCCAGCAGGUCAUUGACAUAGGAGGUGACACCUUGUCUCCCCUGCCUGUCUUUUUAAAGAGGAAUAUAUAAAAUACAUAGAAUUAUUUUUUUCAUGAUGGUGUUCUUGGCCUUUAAAACAUAUUCAUCAUCAUGAAGCAACAAUAUUGUUAUAACUGCUUUGAAACAAUUUCUGUAGAGAGUGAUGUAUUUUAUUUGACCAACUACAUAUAGUUAUAGAGACAGUAAGUUAUUAAGUGUUGUCACGGUUUAACCCCAAGUGGCCACUCAGCUCCCUGCAGCCGCUUGCUUCCUCCCCCCCUCAGUGGGAUAAGGGAGAGAAUUGGAAGGGUAAAAGUGAGAAAACUUGUGGCUUGAGAUGCAGAGAGUCUAAUAGGCAAAGCAAAAGCCACACGUGCAAGCAAAGUAAAACAAGGAAAUAAUUCACUCCUUCACAUGGGCAGGUAGGUGUUCAGCCAGCUCCAGGAAAGCCAGGCUUCAUCAUGGAUAAGAGUGACUUGGAAAUACAAAUGCUAUCUUUCCAAAUAUCCCUCUCUUCCUUCUUCAUCCCCCAGCUAUAUUAGCUGAGCAUGACGUCAUACAGUAGGGAAUAUCCCUUGGGUCAGUUGGGGUCGGCUGUCCUGGCUGUGUCCCCUUCCCAGCUCCUUGUGCACCCCCAGCCCACUGGCUGCUGGGGUGGAGUGAGGAGCAGAAAAAGCCUUGGCUUUGCAUAAGCACUGCCCAGCAGCAAGGAAAACAUCCCUGAACUAUCAACAGAGUUUCCAGGACAAGUCCCGAACCCAUCUCCACACUAGAUACUGUGAAGAAAAUUAACUCCAUCACAGCCAAAAUCAGCAUGUAUGUUUUAUAGCAUAUCAUAAUUACCAUAAAUCUGAGUGAAUAGAAGUGCACAUACAAAAGAACAAGUCUUUCUUUAAUCAGGUGAAGCAUAACAAGAUUAUAAAAAUUCAGCCAUGACUGUGAAAAAAAAAAAUAAACCACCAACAAAACAAAAGGUGAGCCACUGAGAGGAGAGCUUUCAGAAGGAUGUCUGGAAUCUUCAGAUUCUUCACUUAAAAUCUGGCCAGGACAUCCUUUGAGUUUCCUAUCUACUUCAGUGCAGUCAACCUUUCAUUGUCUGUUUCUUCCUAGGGUUUUUCACCCUUCCCCUGAUCUCUCCUCUUCACAAAGUCCACUAAAGUCCAGGUUUAGACAGAGAACAAACAGGAACUGGUCUUUCACACACCCUGAGUGCUCUAAGUCCUAAUGAAACUGAAACCAUUGGGAUGGUCCUACUGUCUGUCUCACCCCAGCACUGUAUGCUGUUUAACAGGGUUGGUGAAGACACCUGUCUCUGGAGAGGACUGGGAGCUGUUAAUGUCAACCAAAGAUGAGAUUGCUGAGAGCAGGUUACAUUUGCCACAGAUAUCAGAACACAGAAAUGUCAGACAUUUACCAUGGAAUAACAUUUCUUCGUUUCCUAUGGAGCAGCUUUUGCAGAAGUACUUGUAAGCCUCACUGCUGGAGAGCCCUGGAACCUGGAGUGUGGCUUCCCUGAUGAACUGUAAGCCUAAUCAAUGUGGAAGACUUGGGUGUUAUAGCUCAUUCUGUUGAGCUAUGUCUACAUUAUGUAAGGUUGAGAUUGCCACUAUUUUACUAUAAACUUUUUUAGCUUUAUGAUGUCCAUUCAUCACUGAACUGAAAGAGUUCAUUUGAAAGUAAGAAAAACCUAGGCACAGAAUAUACUUUAACCAAAAACUGAGAAGAGUAAAGGAAAGGCGUAAUGAUUUUAAGCUGAAAGAGGGUAGGUUUAGAUUAUAUAUAAGGAAGAAGAUUUUUACAAUGAGAGUGGUGAAACACUGGCACAAGUUGCCUAGAGAAUUGGGAGGUACCCCAUCCCAGGAAACACUUCAGGUCAGGUUGGACAGGGCUCUGAGCAACCUGAUCUAGUUGAAAACGUCGCUGCUUAAUGCAGGGGGGUGGACUAAAUGACCUUUAAAGGUGCCAUCCAACCCAAACUGUCCUAUGAUUCUACGGUUCUAUGAAAGUUGUCGUGACCAAGAGCUCCCUCCUGUGUUUUACAGGAAGAGCAGAAGGUCCACGCGUGCGUAGGUCUCUCGGGCAGUGUGACGCAGGCAGCCCCCCUGAAUUAAAAAACCAGCAAACAAACAAAAAACAAAAAUAGAAAAUAAAAGGGGAAGGGAGAAGGACCCAAACAAACAAACCAGUUAACAAAUAAACAAAAAACUUGGCAUUUUGAAACAAA